CUCUUAUCAAGAGUGGCGGAGGGACUGGCCCGAUGAAGCCCGGCAACCAUCAAGUAAUAUACUUGAACGGUGCCAAUUCCUGUAGAACAAAUUGUUCUUACAGAUGAGAG
This 110-nucleotide non-coding RNA is filed under the name Priestia endophytica. RNAcentral describes it as "Bacillus endophyticus SAM-I sequence". It matches the Rfam family "SAM riboswitch aptamer (S box leader)". From Rfam's summary of the family: The SAM riboswitch is found upstream of a number of genes which code for proteins involved in methionine or cysteine biosynthesis in Gram-positive bacteria. The SAM riboswitch acts at the level of transcription termination control. The record is from Rfam by way of RNAcentral. Lineage: Bacteria; Bacillati; Bacillota; Bacilli; Caryophanales; Bacillaceae.